This 503-nucleotide ribosomal RNA is filed under the name Melanodrymia aurantiaca. RNAcentral describes it as "partial 16S ribosomal RNA". It matches the Rfam family "Bacterial large subunit ribosomal RNA", at positions 1816 to 2600 of the family's 2925-position model. Lineage: Eukaryota; Metazoa; Mollusca; Gastropoda; Neomphalida; Peltospiridae. The record is from RNAcentral.
GGCUCUUUGUUAAAUAAAAAUAAAGAGUCGAACCUGCCCAGUGAUAAAUUCAACGGCCGCGGUACCCUGACCGUGCAAAGGUAGCAUAAUCAUUUGCCUUUUAAUUAAGGGCUAGUAUGAAGGGUUUGACGAAAACAAAACUGUCUCUUAUUUAUUAUUUAAAAAUUAAUUUUGAUGUGAAGAAGCAUUAAUAUAUCUAAAAGACAAGAAGACCCUAUUGAGCUUUAAUAGAAGUUUAAGUAAAUUUAUAAUUUAAAAAUUUAUUUUUUACUAUAUUUUAGUUGGGGCGACUAAGGAACAUAAGAGCUUCCUUUUUAAUUUUAAAGACUUAUUGUUAGAUCCAAUUUUAUUGAUUAGAAAAAUUAGUUACCAUAGGGAUAACAGCGUAAUUUUUUUUGAGAGUUCAUAUCGAUAAAAAAGAUUGCGACCUCGAUGUUGGAUUGAGAUUUCCAAUGGGUGCAGAAACUCUUUUGGUUGGUCUGUUCGACCAUUAAAAUCUUACA